RNAcentral lists this small nucleolar RNA (77 nucleotides) under Nicotiana sylvestris (wood tobacco). RNAcentral describes it as "Small nucleolar RNA R12". It matches the Rfam family "Small nucleolar RNA R12". Rfam says of the family: snoR12 is a C/D box small nucleolar RNA, which acts as a methylation guide for 25S ribosomal RNA in plants. snoR12 has been alternatively named snoZ44 in Arabidopsis and snoZ131 in rice. The record is from Rfam by way of RNAcentral. Lineage: Eukaryota; Viridiplantae; Streptophyta; Magnoliopsida; Solanales; Solanaceae.
GUAAGGUUGAUGAAAGAAAUCAUUCGGAUUCCCACUGAGAAUACUGUGAUUACUAUAACCAGCUACUUUUGACUUAC